RNAcentral lists this ribosomal RNA (468 nucleotides) under uncultured bacterium. RNAcentral's name for it is "partial 16S ribosomal RNA". It matches the Rfam family "Bacterial small subunit ribosomal RNA", at positions 28 to 507 of the family's 1533-position model. The record is from RNAcentral.
GACGAACGCUGGCGGCGUGCUUAACACAUGCAAGUCGAACGGACAGGCCCUGCUUUUGUGGGUUGCUCGAGUGGCGAACGGGUGAGUAACACGUGAGUAACCUGCCCUUGACUUUCGGAUAACUUCAGGAAACUGCGGCUAAUACCCCAUAGGAGCUCCUGCUCCACGGUGGUGGUUGGUAAGUUUCGGCGGUUGUGGAUAGACUCGCGGCUUAUGCGCUUGUUGGUGGGGUAGUUGCUUACCAAGCCUGUGACGGGUAGCCGGCCUGGGAGGGUGGACGGGGACAUUGGGACUGAGAGAGGGACCAGUAUCGUACGUGAGGCAGCAGUGGAGAAUAUUGCACAAUGAGCGGAAGCCUGAUGCAGAAACGCCGCGUGCGGAAUGACGGCCUUCGGGGUAUAAACCGCUUUCGCCUGUGACGAAGAGGGAGUGACGGUAAUGGGUAAAGAAGCACCGGCUAACUACGUG